RNAcentral lists this ribosomal RNA (460 nucleotides) under uncultured bacterium. Its description in RNAcentral is "partial 16S ribosomal RNA". It matches the Rfam family "Bacterial small subunit ribosomal RNA", at positions 338 to 795 of the family's 1533-position model. The record is from RNAcentral.
CCUACGAGUGGCAGCAGUGAGGAAUUUUGGUCAAUGGGCGCGAGCCUGAACCAGCCAAGUAGCGUGAAGGAUGAAUGCCCUACGGGUUGUAAACUUCAUUUAUAAAGGAAUAAAGUGAGGCACGUGUGCCUUUUUGUAUGUACUUUAUGAAUACGGAUCGGCUAACUACGUGCCAGCAGCCGCAGUACUACGGAGGAUCCGAGCGUUAUACGGAUUUAUUGGGUUUAAAGGGAGCGUAGAUGGGUUGUUAAGUCAGUUGUGAAAGUUUGCGGCUCAACCGUAAAAUUGCCAUUGAUACUGGCAGCCUUGAGUACAGUUGAGGUAGGCGGAAUUCGUGGUGUAGCGGUGAAAUGCUUAGAUAUCACGAAGAACUCCGAUUGCGAAGGCAGCUUACUAAACUGCCACUGACAUUGAUGCUCGAAAGUGUGGGUAUCAAACAGGAUUAGAUACCCGUGUAGUC